GGAUGAACGCUGGCGGCGUGCUUAACACAUGCAAGUCGAACGAGCCUUCGGGCGAGUGGCGGACGGGUGAGUAACGCGUGGGAAUCUGCCCUCAGGAGGGGGAUAACGGCCGGAAACGGCCGCUAAUACCCCAUAUGCCGAGAGGUGAAACGAAUUUCGCCUGAGGAUAAGCCCGCGUCUGAUUAGCUAGUUGGUGGGGUAAUGGCCCACCAAGGCGACGAUCAGUAGCUGGUCUGAGAGGAUGAUCAGCCACACUGGGACUGAGACACGGCCCAGACUCCUACGGGAGGCAGCAGUGGGGAAUUUUCCGCAAUGGGCGAAAGCCUGACGGAGCAACGCCGCGUGAGGGAUGAAGGCCUCUGGGCUGUAAACCUCUUUUCUCAAGGAAGAAGACAUGACGGUACUUGAGGAAUAAGCCACGGCUAAUUCCGUGCCAGCAGCCGCGGUAAUACGGGAGUGGCAAGCGUUAUCCGGAAUUAUUGGGCGUAAAGCGUCCGCAGGCGGCCUUGUAAGUCUGUCGUUAAAACGUGGAGCUCAACUCCAUUUCAGCGAUGGAAACUACAAGGCUUGAGUGUGGUAGGGGCAGAGGGAAUUCCCGGUGUAGCGGUGAAAUGCGUAGAUAUCGGGAAGAACACCAGUGGCGAAGGCGCUCUGCUGGGCCAUAACUGACGCUCAUGGACGAAAGCCAGGGGAGCGAAAGGGAUUAGAUACCCCUGUAGUCCUGGCCGUAAACGAUGAACACUAGGUGUCGGGGGAAUCGACCCCCUCGGUGUCGUAGCUAACGCGUUAAGUGUUCCGCCUGGGGAGUACGCACGCAAGUGUGAAACUCAAAGGAAUUGACGGGGGCCCGCACAAGCGGUGGAGUAUGUGGUUUAAUUCGAUGCAACGCGAAGAACCUUACCAGGGUUUGACAUCCUGCGAAUCCCUUGGAAACGAGGGAGUGCCUUCGGGAGCGCAGAGACAGGUGGUGCAUGGCUGUCGUCAGCUCGUGUCGUGAGAUGUUGGGUUAAGUCCCGCAACGAGCGCAACCCACGUCUUUAGUUGCCAGCAUUCAGUUGGGCACUCUAGAGAGACCGCCGGUGAUAAACCGGAGGAAGGUGUGGAUGACGUCAAGUCAUCAUGCCCCUUACAUCCUGGGCUACACACGUACUACAAUGCUACGGACAAAGGGUUGCAAGCUCGCGAGAGUUAGCUAAUCCCAUAAACCGUG
This 1210-nucleotide ribosomal RNA is filed under the name uncultured cyanobacterium. Its description in RNAcentral is "bacterial SSU rRNA". It matches the Rfam family "Bacterial small subunit ribosomal RNA", at positions 27 to 1285 of the family's 1533-position model. Lineage: Bacteria; Bacillati; Cyanobacteriota. The record is from RNAcentral.